GGACAUGCAGUAAAAGGUUUUACAUUUUGAUUGCAGAUCGGAAAUAUGGGGUUCAAUUCCUCCUUGUCUC
This 70-nucleotide transfer RNA is filed under the name Zymoseptoria tritici. RNAcentral's name for it is "tRNA-Cys". Lineage: Eukaryota; Fungi; Ascomycota; Dothideomycetes; Mycosphaerellales; Mycosphaerellaceae. The record is from RNAcentral.